RNAcentral lists this small nucleolar RNA (127 nucleotides) under Microcebus murinus (gray mouse lemur). Its description in RNAcentral is "Small nucleolar RNA SNORA27 (ENSMICG00000020701.3)". It matches the Rfam family "Small nucleolar RNA SNORA27". From Rfam's summary of the family: ACA27 is a member of the H/ACA class of snoRNA that guide the sites of modification of uridines to pseudouridines. The record is from Rfam by way of RNAcentral. Lineage: Eukaryota; Metazoa; Chordata; Mammalia; Primates; Cheirogaleidae.
UGACCUCUUUUCACUUUGUCAGUUGGAUUUAUGUCUUUAUUAGUCAUUCAAGCGUGGCAAAGGAAGUACCCUUUUAAAACUCAGGCACACGGAGUAUUUGUCUUGUAUCUGGUCAGUGGAAACAAAU